UAAUAUUAUUUACAGUAAGAAAUAAAACAUAAUUUUUUAUAUACAUUAUGAUUUAAAGAUGAAAGCAGAACAGGAACAGGUGUAGGUACCGGAUACUGGAAGACGGAUGAGGAUGAUCGAAUAACAUGGAGUGGUUAUACCGGGGACAGGACACACACUGCUCUGAAUCCAGUCCAAGAUUUUCGAAGAAAAGAAGCAGGAAGUGAGGCCAAAUACAUAUCCGUAACCGAUAUAAUUUUAUUCCUAUAUCCAUAACAUCUCUACCUUUCCGACCAACUGUCACAAAGUAAUUUAUUGCUUUCUACAAACCAUUCAAGACAAGUUUUCAUUAAAUGUUCAUAGAGUUUUAUCAAGACAAGAUAAAAUGAAUAGGAAUGAAUUUGCAUUAGAGGGAUUUUUAUUAGGAAAUAUUCAAGAGUGUGGUUACCUAUAUGAGAGAUGAAGGAAUAUGGGAUUCCAUUGUCACCGGGGGUUCAAUAGCAUCAAAGGCACAAUUAUUAUAGGAACUGAUAAUGAAUGAUGAAAAUUAAUUAGUUAAUGAAUCGGGGAGAAUACGUUUCAGUAAAUGCACACCUGAAUCUUCUAAUAUUACGCCAUACCACAGAAGGACGGACAUUAGGGGAGAUAGAGAGACAAAAAGAUUUCCAGCUAUCUGCUUUUUUCUUUUUAAAUAAUAAACUAGUGGCCUUGAAAGCAUCUGUAACCAGAUCAAAAUUUGUCAGAUGUACAAUUCUCACAAUAUUGGAGCUCAACUUGCUUUCUUUUUUUAAUUGUAUCCAUUCUUGAUCCCACCAAGGUGAAGAUGGAAUAAAACCUAGAGCACCAUUUUUAAGUGGAAAAGUUACACAGCAACCUCUAUAAAUAAUUUAGUUAAUGCAUCAGCACAAAUUGAUUCUGAACCAUGUGAGAUAUUAGGAAGGGAAGUCAUCUUUUGUUCUAUACGGCAUUUAAAGGUAUCCCAAUCAGCAUUAUUAAGUCGAUGUUUUAAUCUAGGAAAAUGUCUAAAUGCAAAAUUAAUAUGAAAAGGAAAUCUAAGAAGUAGAGAAAAGUGGUCACUACCAUAUGAAGAAGAAAGUUUAGACCAUGAUAGUGGAAGCUAAAGUAGGAUUAAAUAAAAAUAUAAGUAGGCUUAAAUCAGGGACACUUGAGCCUUCAUUGGGAGAGGUCCGCCAGGUCACAUAACCAUUGUUGAGAAAGCAAAGAUUAUGAGAGUAUUUGUUGAACUGCCCCAAGAACUAUGUUGACUGUUAACAUCGCCUAAUAAGAUAUAAGGCUUAGGAAGAGUAGAAAUGAUAGAGUCAAUUUCAACAAAGAUAGAAGAACUUGGAUGAGGUAUAUAAAUUGAAACAUGUAAUAUAUAUCCUCGAUACCCAUCAAUACGAUCCUCAAGGAGACAGGCAUAUCCUGAGUACCUACAAGGAGCAUCUGGUUUUAACGAAAUCUCCUGUAUAAGAUAAAUAAUAUCACUUUUCUUAGACGAAGCUUUAGCUUGCUUGUCCAUUAUUAAUAUAAUUUGGUAAGUUAACGAUAGUGUCAGUUUAAGGAGCAGCGUUGGACUGUGGAAUAAUAUUAGACUGUGAUAUAGUGUUGAUGAGAAUUGUAAUUAGAUCUGCAAUUGAUUGUAAUGUCAAUUCAUUAGUGUUGUUUGAGUUUAAUCCACAACCAUUUCUGGGUGAGGGCAUAUCAUAGUCUUUAAUUAAUUCUUGUUAUGUAUUUCUGUUGUAACCUUUGGAUAGUUUAGGAAUAGAUUUUGGUUUAAGAAAAACAGUCUUUUUGUAAGAGUUACUCAAAGACUGUUUAUGAGGCUGUUCAUUUUGAGGAGUAGAAAUAGUAGAAGCCCCUACAUUGUCAGAAGAAAGUAGGGCAUCAGCAUAAGACAUUUUUGAAAUAGGUGCAUGAAUUUUAGAUGCUUCAGUUUCUUUGAUGGCUUUUUGGCGAUCAAAUUCUAAACAUCUUUUACUUGUGAAAAAGUGACUGAAAAUAGAGCGCUGGUUUUGAUCUACAUAACACUUUCUACAACAAUUGUAACACUGUAUUGUGGGGAAAAUGUAAGAACCACAGUCUCAGAAGGCUUAAACUCACUGCCAUUACUAGUAAUGGUACACCGUCGCAUUCUUCUCACUUUUAAAAUUGGACCACAUCCAACAGGUAAAUUAAUAUUUUCCAUAACUUCUUCAUCUGACCACUCAGCAGGUAUGCCUCUUACAACACCCAUAUGGGUCACAGUAAAUAUUGGGAUAGAAACCUUAUACUCAACUGAUUGUAAAGCAGGGUUGUUUAGGAAAGAAUUGGCGUCCUGGUACAGUCUAUUACGACCAAUUCGUUUUAAGCUUACGUUAACAAAAUUGUGUAUAGAAUUUCUUUUUCAGAAACAACCGAAAUCAAUAGGGUGAACUGAAAUAUUAUCAUUUGGAGUUUGCUGUGCUCUUUGUAUGUUAACAACAUAUGGUGCUGCAUCACUUGACUGAUAUGUUAAACAUGCUACUGAUUCUGGCUUUUUAUAUUGAUUAGGGGAAUUUAGUUGCGACUCAUUGGACAAGGGAGCAGUGCUAAUUUGGGUAUUGGUAUUAGGUAAAGGAAUGCAAUGACAUUCGUUUUGUCUGAUUUCCUUGCCCUCAUGUCGUCUCCGACUACGUCUCUUUCUAUUACAAUGGGUUGUUUAUGCAGUGGCUCUUCGUUUCCGAGCACCACUGCUAGACUUUAUGGAUCCGUCUGUUUCCAUCCCAACUCGUCAUUGGAAAAUUUUAUUAUACAACCCAUCCCAGGGACUUCUCUGCCCCAAGGAUCAUCAGGCGGCUCCAUAAGGCAAAAUUCGCUGGUAUUGGCAUCACGAGAUUUCACCGCUUCCGCCCAUGCCUUAAAGUAUUCUCGCUUUCGACGCGAGGAAAAGCAAGAACGCAGAAAAUGGAAUAAAGCCAUGCCCUGCAGACCACUUCGGCAACAGAGGCAGUGACUGAAUCUGGAGCUUCCGACGAAAAGCACUUAGGCCUUAAGCCCCCAAGGGUAGGACGCAAAGACAGACCGCAUCCACAGGUUAUUUCACCAGUGGGCAAAGCCUAAAAAUAGUUUUAUUAUUUAUACCCAACAGUGCUUGUUUCAAUAUAAUUAAACGUUA
This is a long non-coding RNA of Pieris napi, 3115 nucleotides long. RefSeq lists it as uncharacterized. The transcript has 3 exons. The record is from RefSeq and is a predicted model, not a curated record. NCBI's taxonomy places the organism in Eukaryota, Metazoa, Arthropoda, Insecta, Lepidoptera, Pieridae.